Molecule: ribosomal RNA, 508 nt
Filed under: uncultured bacterium
Lineage: Bacteria
Description: partial 16S ribosomal RNA
Rfam family: Bacterial small subunit ribosomal RNA
Source: RNAcentral
GACGAACGCUGGCGGCGUGCUUAACACAUGCAAGUCGAACGGGCCUUGUCCCCUUUUUUUUUGGGGGUGGGGUUAGUGGCGAACGGGUGAGUAACACGUGAGUAAUCUGCCCCUCACUUCUGGAUAACCGCUUGAAAGGGUGGCUAAUACGGGGUGUUCUGGCCUGCUCGCAUGGGUGGGUUUGGAAAGAUUCGACCGGUUUUGGUUGUUUUGGUGGGGGAUGGGCUCGCGGCCUAUCAGCUUGUUGGUGGGGUGAUGGCCUGCCAAGGCUUUGACGGGUAGCCGGCCUGAGAGGGUGGGCGGUCACACUGGGACUGAGACACGGCCCAGACUCCUACGGGAGGCAGCAGUGGGGAAUAUUGCACAAUGGGCGCAAGCCUGAUGCAGCGACGCCGCGUGAGGGAUGGAGGCCUUCGGGUUGUGAACCUCUUUCGCCAGUGAAGAAGGUCCUGCUCUUUGUGGUGGGGUUGACGGUAGCUGGGUUAAUGAAGCGCCGGCUAACUACGUG